This 494-nucleotide ribosomal RNA is filed under the name uncultured bacterium. RNAcentral describes it as "bacterial SSU rRNA". It matches the Rfam family "Bacterial small subunit ribosomal RNA", at positions 21 to 507 of the family's 1533-position model. The record is from RNAcentral.
GGCUCAGGAUGAACGCUAGCGGCAGGCCUAACACAUGCAAGUCGAGGGGCAGCAUAAAACAAGCUUGCUUGUUUGGUGGCGACCGGCGCACGGGUGCGUAACGCGUAUGCAACCUACCUUAUACUGGGGGAUAGCCCGGAGAAAUUCGGAUUAAUACCCCAUAGUAUUGUUAAAUCGCAUGGUUUGAUAAUUAAAGGUUACGGUAUAAGAUGGGCAUGCGUCCUAUUAGCUAGAUGGUGAGGUAACGGCUCACCAUGGCGACGAUAGGUAGGGGGCCUGAGAGGGUGGUCCCCCACACUGGUACUGAGACACGGACCAGACUCCUACGGGAGGCAGCAGUGAGGAAUAUUGGUCAAUGGGCGCAAGCCUGAACCAGCCAUGCCGCGUGCAGGAAGAAUGCCCUAUGGGUUGUAAACUGCUUUUAUUUGGGAAUAAACCUCUUUACGUGUAGAGAGCUGAAGGUACCAAAUGAAUAAGCACCGGCUAACUCCGUG